This 71-nucleotide transfer RNA is filed under the name Dipodomys ordii (Ord's kangaroo rat). It matches the Rfam family "tRNA". Rfam says of the family: Transfer RNA (tRNA) molecules are approximately 80 nucleotides in length. Their secondary structure includes four short double-helical elements and three loops (D, anti-codon, and T loops). Further hydrogen bonds mediate the characteristic L-shaped molecular structure. tRNAs have two regions of fundamental functional importance: the anti-codon, which is responsible for specific mRNA codon recognition, and the 3' end, to which the tRNAs corresponding amino acid is attached (by aminoacyl-tRNA synthetases). tRNAs cope with the degeneracy of the genetic code in two manners: having more than one tRNA (with a specific anti-codon) for a particular amino acid; and 'wobble' base-pairing, i.e. permitting non-standard base-pairing at the 3rd anti-codon position. The record is from Rfam by way of RNAcentral. Lineage: Eukaryota; Metazoa; Chordata; Mammalia; Rodentia; Heteromyidae.
GGGAAUGUGGCUCAGUUGGUAGAGUGCUUGCCUCACAUGCAUGAAGCCCUGGGUUCAAUUCCUCAGUACCA